RNAcentral lists this ribosomal RNA (414 nucleotides) under uncultured microorganism. RNAcentral's name for it is "bacterial SSU rRNA". It matches the Rfam family "Archaeal small subunit ribosomal RNA", at positions 330 to 745 of the family's 1478-position model. The record is from RNAcentral.
GCGCAGCAGGCAAGAAACCUCCGCAAUACACGAAAGUGUGACGGGGCCAUCCCGAGUGCCGUCCGCUGAGGACGGCUUUUCCCCAGUGUACAUAGCUGGGGGAAUAAGGAGAGGGCAAGCCUGGUGUCAGCCGCCGCGGUAAUACCAGCUCUCCGAGUGGUGGGGACGCUUAUUGGGCCUAAAGCAUCCGUAGCCGGCUAGGCAAGUCCUCCGUUAAAUCCAACGAUUCAAUCGUUGGGCUGCGGGGGAUACUGUCCAGCUUGGGGGGCGGGAGAGGCCGACGGUAUUCCCGGGGUAGGGGUGAAAUCCUAUAAUCCCGGGAGGACCACCAGUGGCGAAGGCUGUCGGCUAGAACGCGCCCGACGGUGAGGGAUGAAAGCUGGGGGAGCGAACCGGAUUAGAUACCCGGGUAGU